UAUGGUUAGAACUGGCCAGAGUGCGCCCUGCAUCUGCGGGAGGGUCCCGGGGCCGUCUCGAAUUUGUUUUUUUUUUGUUUGUUUGUUUGUCUGUUGUUUUUUUUAGCCCUCUCUCUAAGGGCUAAGGAUUCCAUCGAGAUGACAUGAAAAGAGGAGCAAGUUGGGGAACCCUUGGUUUGGGCCUUUCCUAUUUGAAGAGUGAACGCUGCUGACCACAGAAAAGAGACUUCAAAAGCUUCAGAGGCAGACUAGGAGACAAGGAGACACACAGAUGAACGGCGGAAUGGCGCAGCAGAGAAAGAGAGAAGA
This is a non-coding RNA of Macaca mulatta (Rhesus monkey), 309 nucleotides long. NCBI's taxonomy places the organism in Eukaryota, Metazoa, Chordata, Mammalia, Primates, Cercopithecidae. The record is from RefSeq and is a predicted model, not a curated record.